UUAAAGGAAGUUGACGGGGAGCACCACAACGGGUGGAGCUUGCGGUUAAUUGGAUUCAACGCCGGAAUCUUACCGGGACCGACAGCGAUAUGAAGGCCCAGGCUGAAGACUUUGCCGGAUUAGCUGAGAGGUGGUGCAUGGCCGUCGUCAGUUCGUACUGUGAAGCAUCCUGUUAAGUCAGGCAACGAGCGAGACCCACGCCCACAGUUGCCAGCGUACUCUCCGGAGUGACGGGUACACUGUGGGGACCGCCGCUGCUAAAGCGGAGGAAGGAAUGGGCAACGGUAGGUCAGUAUGCCCCGAAUAUCCCGGGCUACACGCGAGCUACAAUGGUUGGUACAAUGGGUAUCUACCCCGAAAGGGGAUGGAAAUCUCCUAAAGCCAAUCUUAGUCCGGAUUGAGGGCUGCAACUCGCCCUCAUGAAGCUGGAAUCCGUAGUAAUCGCGUUUCAACAGAACGCGGUGAAUACGUCCCUGCUCCUU
Molecule: ribosomal RNA, 482 nt
Filed under: uncultured Methanosaeta sp.
Lineage: Archaea; Methanobacteriati; Methanobacteriota; Methanomicrobia; Methanotrichales; Methanotrichaceae
Description: bacterial SSU rRNA
Rfam family: Archaeal small subunit ribosomal RNA
Source: RNAcentral